ACGGAAGGCAGCAGUGGGGAAUAUUGGACAAUGGGCGAAAGCCUGAUCCAGCGACGCCGCGUGAGUGAAGAAGUAUUUCGGUAUGUAAAGCUCUAUCAGCAGGGAAGAUAAUGACGGUACCUGACUAAGAAGCCCCGGCUAACUACGUGCCAGCAGCCGCGGUAAUACGUAGGGGGCAAGCGUUAUCCGGAUUUACUGGGUGUAAAGGGAGCGCAGGCGGUACGGCAAGUCUGAUGUGAAAGCCCGGGGCUCAACCCCGGUACUGCAUUGGAAACUGUCGAACUAGAGUGUCGGAGGGGUAAGCGGAAUUCCUAGUGUAGCGGUGAAAUGCGUAGAUAUUAGGAGGAACACCAGUGGCGAAGGCGGCUUACUGGACGAUAACUGACGCUGAGGCUCGAAAGCGUGGGGAGCAAACAGGAUUAGAUACCCUGGUA
This 434-nucleotide ribosomal RNA is filed under the name uncultured bacterium. Its description in RNAcentral is "partial 16S ribosomal RNA". It matches the Rfam family "Bacterial small subunit ribosomal RNA", at positions 341 to 792 of the family's 1533-position model. The record is from RNAcentral.